AGAGUUUGAUCAUGGCUCAGGACGAACGCUGGCGGCGUGCUUAACACAUGCAAGUCGAACGGUGAAGGGAUCAGCUUGCUGGUUCUGGAUGAGUGGCGAACGGGUGAGUAACACGUGAGUAACCUGCCCCCUUCUUCUGGAUAACCGCAUGAAAGUGUGGCUAAUACGGGAUAUUCUGGGUCUGUCGCAUGGCGGGCCUGGGAAAGAUAUUGUUUCGGUGGGGGAUGGGCUCGCGGCCUAUCAGCUUGUUGGUGGGGUGAUGGCCUACCAAGGCGGUGACGGGUAGCCGGCCUGAGAGGGUGGACGGUCACACUGGGACUGAGACACGGCCCAGACUCCUACGGGAGGCAGCAGUGGGGAAUAUUGCACAAUGGGCGCAAGCCUGAUGCAGCGACGCCGCGUGAGGGAUGGAGGCCUUCGGGUUGUAAACCUCUUUCGCCAGUGAAGCAGGCCUGCUCCUUGUGGGUGGGUUGACGGUAGCUGGAUAAGAAGCGCCGGCUAACUACGUGCCAGCAGCCGCGGUAAUACGUAGGGCGCGAGCGUUGUCCGGAAUUAUUGGGCGUAAAGAGCUCGUAGGCGGCUGGUCGCGUCUGUCGUGAAAUCCUCUGGCUUAACUGGGGGCUUGCGGUGGGUACGGGCCGGCUUGAGUGCGGUAGGGGAGACUGGAACUCCUGGUGUAGCGGUGGAAUGCGCAGAUAUCAGGAAGAACACCGGUGGCGAAGGCGGGUCUCUGGGCCGUUACUGACGCUGAGGAGCGAAAGCGUGGGGAGCGAACAGGAUUAGAUACCCUGGUAGUCCACGCCGUAAACGUUGGGCACUAGGUGUGGGGGGCCUUUUCCGGGUCUUCCGCGCCGUAGCUAACGCAUUAAGUGCCCCGCCUGGGGAGUACGGCCGCAAGGCUAAAACUCAAAGGAAUUGACGGGGGCCCGCACAAG
RNAcentral lists this ribosomal RNA (935 nucleotides) under Actinomyces naeslundii. RNAcentral describes it as "bacterial SSU rRNA". It matches the Rfam family "Bacterial small subunit ribosomal RNA", at positions 8 to 929 of the family's 1533-position model. The record is from RNAcentral. Lineage: Bacteria; Bacillati; Actinomycetota; Actinomycetes; Actinomycetales; Actinomycetaceae.